UGGGGAAUUUUGGACAAUGGGGGAAACCCUGAUCCAGCCAUCCCGCGUGUGCGAUGAAGGCCUUCGGGUUGUAAAGCACUUUUGGCAGGAAAGAAACGUCGCGGGUUAAUACCCCGCGGAACUGACGGUACCUGCAGAAUAAGCACCGGCUAACUACGUGCCAGCAGCCGCGGUAAUACGUAGGGUGCAAGCGUUAAUCGGAAUUACUGGGCGUAAAGCGUGCGCAGGCGGUUCGGAAAGAAAGAUGUGAAAUCCCAGAGCUUAACUUUGGAAACUGCAUUUUUUAAACUACCGGGCUAGAGUGUGUCAGAGGGAGGUGGAAUUCCGCGUGUAGCAGUGAAAUGCGUAGAUAUGCGGAGGAACACCGAUGGCGAAGGCAGCCUCCUGGGAUAACACUGACGCUCAUGCACGAAAGCGUGGGGAGCAAAACAGGAUUAGAUACCCUGGUAGUCCACGCCCUAAAACGAUGUCAACUAGCUGUUGGGGUCUUCGGACCUUGGUAGCGCAGCUAACGCGUGAAGUUGACCGCCUGGGGAGUACGGUCGCAAGAUUAAAAACUCAAAGGAAUUGACGGGGUCAUAGCUGUUUCCU
Molecule: ribosomal RNA, 591 nt
Filed under: uncultured bacterium
Lineage: Bacteria
Description: partial 16S ribosomal RNA
Rfam family: Bacterial small subunit ribosomal RNA
Source: RNAcentral